This 284-nucleotide long non-coding RNA is filed under the name Elaeis guineensis (African oil palm). Its description in RNAcentral is "long non-coding RNA (EGUI_LNC015155)". The record is from RNAcentral. Lineage: Eukaryota; Viridiplantae; Streptophyta; Magnoliopsida; Arecales; Arecaceae.
UUAUCGUACUAAAAUAUUUUUGAUGACCAAUAUUUCAUCAAAAAUAAUUUCAUCACUAAUAAUUUAAUCAUAUUAUUUAAAAAAUAAUAUAUGAAUAUAUUUUUUUAAUUUAUAUCUAUAAUAUUUUUUAUAAAUGAAAAAAAUUAAAAUAAAAAAUUUAUAGAAUAAAUAGAUAAAUAAAUUUUAUUAUUAUAUUAUAUUAUAUUAAAUUAAAAUUAUAAGAGAUCUCAAAUAAAAAUAAAAAAUACAUGAAGAAGCUAUCAAGUGUCGGCAUCUGGAGAACG